This 489-nucleotide ribosomal RNA is filed under the name Salmonella enterica subsp. enterica serovar Aberdeen. Its description in RNAcentral is "bacterial SSU rRNA". It matches the Rfam family "Bacterial small subunit ribosomal RNA", at positions 21 to 499 of the family's 1533-position model. The record is from RNAcentral. Lineage: Bacteria; Pseudomonadati; Pseudomonadota; Gammaproteobacteria; Enterobacterales; Enterobacteriaceae.
GGCUCAGAUUGAACGCUGGCGGCAGGCCUAACACAUGCAAGUCGAACGGUAACAGGAAGCAGCUUGCUGCUUUGCUGACGAGUGGCGGACGGGUGAGUAAUGUCUGGGAAACUGCCUGAUGGAGGGGGAUAACUACUGGAAACGGUGGCUAAUACCGCAUAACGUCGCAAGACCAAAGAGGGGGACCUUCGGGCCUCUUGCCAUCAGAUGUGCCCAGAUGGGAUUAGCUUGUUGGUGAGGUAACGGCUCACCAAGGCGACGAUCCCUAGCUGGUCUGAGAGGAUGACCAGCCACACUGGAACUGAGACACGGUCCAGACUCCUACGGGAGGCAGCAGUGGGGAAUAUUGCACAAUGGGCGCAAGCCUGAUGCAGCCAUGCCGCGUGUAUGAAGAAGGCCUUCGGGUUGUAAAGUACUUUCAGCGGGGAGGAAGGUGUUGUGGUUAAUAACCGCAGCAAUUGACGUUACCCGCAGAAGAAGCACCGGCUA